RNAcentral lists this ribosomal RNA (207 nucleotides) under uncultured bacterium. Its description in RNAcentral is "partial 16S ribosomal RNA". It matches the Rfam family "Bacterial small subunit ribosomal RNA", at positions 568 to 774 of the family's 1533-position model. The record is from RNAcentral.
AGCGCAGGCGGGAAGACAAGUUGGAAGUGAAAUCCAUGGGCUCAACCCAUGAACUGCUUUCAAAACUGUUUUUCUUGAGUAGUGCAGAGGUAGGCGGAAUUCCCGGUGUAGCGGUGGAAUGCGUAGAUAUCGGGAGGAACACCAGUGGCGAAGGCGGCCUACUGGGCACCAACUGAUGCUGAGGCUCGAAAGUGUGGGUAGCAAACA